GGCCGAGGGGCUGCGUAGGCCCCGCCCGGCCAGGCCCAGCCGGGCCCUGGACAGACAGGGCAGGGCAUUGUUCAUGCACUGACCGACCUCAGCAGCCCCGGCAUGACCUCAGGGAACGGAAACUCUGCCUCCAGCAUCGCCGGCACUGCCCCCCAGAAUGGUGGGACGCUCGUCCCUGCUGGUGGGGAAUCUCAAGAAGAAGUAUGCACAGGGGUUCCUGCCUGAGAAACUUCCACAGCAGGAUCACACCACCACCACUGACUCGGAGAUGGAGGAGCCCUAUCUGCAAGAAUCCAAAGAGGAGGGUGCUCCCCUCAAACUCAAGUGUGAGCUCUGUGGCCGGGUGGACUUUGCCUAUAAGUUUAAGCGUUCCAAGCGCUUCUGUUCCAUGGCUUGUGCAAAGAGGUACAACGUGGGAUGCACCAAACGGGUGGGACUUUUCCACUCAGACCGGAGCAAGCUGCAGAAGGCAGGAGCUGCGACCCACAACCGCCGUCGGGCCAGCAAAGCCAGUCUGCCACCACUUACCAAGGAUACCAAGAAGCAG
This 547-nucleotide small RNA is filed under the name Pan troglodytes (chimpanzee). RNAcentral describes it as "processed transcript". The record is from RNAcentral. Lineage: Eukaryota; Metazoa; Chordata; Mammalia; Primates; Hominidae.